GGGAAACACUAGGGAUGGUGCGUGGUGGCUGCGCACAGUCAGUGACUGAAGGGUUUGGAGGUAGAAGAGCGAACAGGGAUGAAGAGAGUGAGGUGAAGAUUGAGGGGGUAAGAGGUUAGGGAUUCUUCAGAAAUGUGUUCACAUAGGAAAGUGGAAGAAAGGGGGAAAACCGUGUUGUGUUAUAGAUAUUUUGUAAUUUUGAACCCUUAGGGGCGGUUGAAAGCGACGCUAACGAUAAAUCAACCGCCGCUAAGUGGAAACCCUGAAUCCUAGUUUAAGACGAUAGCGGCGGUUGAACGAGCCGCUGCUAAAAAACCGCCGCUAAAUUCCGAAUUUUUUAUAGUGAAAGCUCCAGAGGAAGCUGAGCCAGAGGAAGACUCUCCAGAGGAAGUUGGUCCCUCUGAUUCACAACCUCAGAGGAAGAGCAGAAUUGUUGCCUCUCACCCUAAGGAGUUGAUUCUGGGAAAUAAAGAUGAACCCGUCAGAACCAGAUCAGCAUUCAGACCCUCUGAAGAGACCCUACUUAGUCUUAAGGGAUUGGUAUCCUUAAUUGAACCAAAAUCAAUCGAUGAAGCUCACAAAGACUGGAUUCUGGCAAUGGAAGAAUAAUUGAAUCAAUUCUCCAAGAAUGAUGUUUCGAACCUUGUCAAGAAACCUCAAGGUGCUCACAUCAUUGGAACCAAAUGGGUUUUCAGAAACAAGCUGAAUGAAAAAGGAGAUGUAGUCAGAAACAAAGCAAGGCUAGUUGCUCAAGGCUACAGUCAGCAAGAAGGAAUAGAUUAUACUGAAACAUUUGCUCCAAUAGCAAGAUUGGAAGCUAUCAGGCUGCUGAUCUCAUUCUCAGUGAAUCACAACAUAAUUCUUCAUCAGAUGGAUGUUAAGAGUGCCUUCCUGAAUGGAUACAUCUCAGAGAAAGUGUAUGUGCACCAACCUCCUGGUUUUGAAGAUGAGAAGAACCCUGACCAUGUUUUCAAAUUGAAGAAAUCUCUCUAUGGUCUGAAGCAAGCUCCCAGAGCAUGGUAUGAGAGACUUAGCUCAUUCCUUCUGGAAAAUGAGUUUGUAAGGGGUAAAGUAGAUACAACUCUCUUUUGCAAAACUUACAAAGAUGAUAUUAUAUUUGGAUCUGCUAAUCCAUCUCUUUGCAAAGAAUUUUCUGAGAUGAUGCCGGGUGAAUUUGAAAUGAGUAUGAUGGGAGAACUCAAGUACUUUCUGGGAAUACAAGUUGAUCAAAAACCAGAAGCUACUUACAUUCAUCAGAGGAAGUACACAAAGGAACUUCUGAAGAAGUUCAAUAUGACAGAAUCAAUAAUUGCUAAGACUCCUAUGCAUCCUACAUGCAUUCUGGAAAAAGAAGAUGUCAGUGGAAAAUUAUGUCAGAAGCUCUAUCGUGGAAUGAUAGGUUCACUUCUAUACUUAACUGCAUCUAGGCCAGAUAUUCUGUUUAGUGUACAUUUAUGUGCUUGAUUCCAAUCAGAUCCUAGAGAAACUCACUUAACUGUUGUUAAGAGAAUUCUCAGAUAUCUGAAAGGUACCACUAACCUUGGCUUGAUGUAUAAGAAAACAUCAGAGUAUAAGCUUUCAGGUUAUUGUGAUGCUGAUUAUGCUGGAGAUAGAACUGAAAGAAAAAGUACUUCUGGAAAUUGUCAAUUUCUGGGAAGUAACUUAGUCUCAUGGGCAAGCAAGAGGCAAUCUACUAUUGCACUAUACACUGCAGAGGCAGAAUAUAUCUCAGCAGCUAUUUGCAGCACUCAGAUGCUCUGGAUGAAACAUCAGCUAGAGGAUUAUCAAAUCUUUGAGAUCAACAUUCCAAUUUAUUGUGAUAAUACUGCUGCAAUCUCACUCAGUAAGAAUCCAAUCUUACACUCAAGGGCAAAACACAUUGAGGUAAAGUAUCACUUUAUUAGAGAUUAUAUUCAGAAGGGCGCACUUCUUCUGAAGUUUAUUGAUACUGACCAUCAAUGGGCAGAUAUCUUUACAAAGCCCUUAGCAGAGGAUAGAUUUAAAUUUAUACUGAAAAAUCUGAAUAUGGACUUUUGUCCAGUAUGAAGAUGGAUCAGAACCUCGGACUAUGAUGCUGUAUCAUCAGAAGAUGUCUAGUUUAGAAGGUAGCUUAGUCAGAAGCUGAGUACCCAUUGGUGCUUACUCUGAGACAAGACAGUAAACGUGUGUCAGUUCAUUCUGAUGCGUUGUUCCUUAUGCCUUUCGAAUAAUCUGUUGUAAUGAGUGUAGUUGUGCUUAUUCUCCACCGUGUGUUUUGUGUAUUAACUGUUCAUAAUGAUAUCUUUAAUUUUCAACCGUUGAUUUUACUUUUGUUUUACAAUCAACAACGGUUACUUUCUAAAAACCACUACACACACACGUUCUCCAUCACUUGUGUUAUUUUCUUCUCUCUCCUGUUUGCAAAAAACCCUUACCUUCCUCAAUUCUCUCUAUCUCUCAUUCAUCCCUCUUCUUCCCAAACCUCCAACCUUCAACAAUGGUGAGAUCUGAAAGAGCUGAUUCCGGUGAAAGGUCUGAUUCCGCCGAUGGAAGAGUGUUUCCAAGAAUGGUUGUGGGUCUUCCAACAGGGCAAGUAGGUUCUGUUCUGCGUCCCAGAUCGACAGAGGGUGCUCAAGCACAAAUCCAAGAUGCUGAGGAUGUUAUUCCUUUGUCCCAAAGAAGUUGUGCAGUUACAUGCGUCUUUCCUCCAGAAGAACUUCAAGUUCUUGCUGAAUGGCGUUUCGACCUAGACAACAUUGCUGCUAAUGGGGUCGAUCUUCGUCCUGAAGUACAGGCUCAAGGCUGGGAAGGAUACUUCAAUAGAUUGCAUGGUCCAGUCUAUGAUAAACUUGUGAAGGAAUUCUGGAAGCAUGCUCAUUGCAACGAGUAUCAGGUGGUGUCUUUUGUUCUGGGAAAAAGGAUCAUCAUAUCAGAGAAGUCUUUUGCAAGACUUCUGGGUGCAGAUACAAGUCGUGGCUACAGAUUUCAGAUGCAAGAGUCCAAAGUCAAGACAAGUACCAAGGAGAAGGUCAACAGGGCCUUAUACUCUACAUGGAGACCGGGCAAAACUGAUUGCAAGACUAAGGAUCUUCAUCCUGACCUGAGAAUCUGGCACAAGAUCCUCCUGAACUACAUAAAUCAAAGACCAAAAGGAAGCUCUCCAUAUUACAUCAAUUUCACUCAGAAGGUGAUGCUUUUCUUCAUCAAGGAGCACAACAAAGUCUGUCUGCUUUACUUUCUCCUCUCCUAUCUGAAGGAGUGCAUCAAGAAGUCAAGGACUACUGCUUCACCAAAGUCUGCCAUCAAGUAAAUACCUUUUGGCAGAUUACUGUCGGACUUCUUCAUUGAGAGCAAGUUGAUAUCUGCUCUGACCAAAGCUGGGUGCAUAGAAGACCUAACAACAAUUGUUGGAGAUGUCUUCACUCCCACAUCACUGAAGAGAAUGGGCUUAGUGGAAACAAAAGUUGAGGUUAACCCUGCUACUUCAAAGUCAAGAGGAAAAGACUCCCUCUGAAGGACUACCCACUCUGGUCAAAGGCUGAUGAUCCAGAGGCUAUCAUGAUCUAUCUUUAUGAUCUGAAGCAACAAGGCUUUGUGAUUGACGUGGAUGAAUUCUUCAGAAAUCUUCCAGAGCCUCCGGAUUUUGAGUCUCCCAGAAAGAAGAAGACCAAGAGAAAGCAAGUGGAACCCUCUGAGACACAGGAUCCCUCUGAUGGUGAUGAUGAUGAUGAUGAUGAACCUCCACCUCAGAAGAAAGCAAAGAAGGUCAGAAUUGCAAAGCAAGUCAUUCAUCUGGAACCUGCAAUCUCUACCAGAGUCACCAGAUCUGCAGUCAGAGCUUCAAGUAAGUUUAUUGCUCUUUCUGAUGAUGAUGAUUUAAAUCUGAUUGAUGCAAUUUCUGCUACUUCCAACCCCGAACCCUCACAAAUUGAUCAACCUACAUCACACACUUCCCCACCUAGGGCUUCAUUCUUUCAACCCUCCAUUGAGGAAGAACCCCUCUGGAAAAUGCUUCAAACCCCUAAGUCCACUACACCAACCUCACCCAUUAUUCUUCCAUACAAUCCACAAACCUCUGAACCAAUGGUUUCUGAGACACAAGCUCAAGAGAUACCAAACCCUGAAAAAUCCAACUUUGAGCCUCAACCCUCUGAUCACUCAAAUCAGGAACCCUCUGAUAGAGAAAUUCUCUCUCCUGCUCCCUCUGUUUCCUUUCCAACAAAUGUUCCAUUUUCCUCUCCUUCAAAUAAAUCUGAAGCUUCUCGCCAAUUCUUUCAACUUGCCAGAGAAAGAGUUUCAGAACUUCCUGAACAUUUCUUAACUGUUCCUAGUCCAAACCGCUACUCUGGACCAAGGCCAGAACCUCAGGAAGCACCUGAUUUUCCAAUCCAUGUUGUCCCUCUGUCUUCAGUAGCACCACCUCGUCCUCUUUCUCCUCCACCUCAAAAUGAAAACUCUGUCUCUGACUAAUCUCCAAAUCCUGAGACUGAAGUUUCUCAUCAAAACCCUGAGACCAAUCACUCUGAACCCCAAACUGUGCAAAUUGGUUCUCCUCAUGGUGUUUCGAAGCUACAAGUUGCAAUCAUCCCUCUUCAUCUGAAACCCAUCUUUCUAUUGUUCCCUAUACCCAAGUCAGACCAAACACCCUACUUGAUUGCAUCAACUUUUUUAAUCAUGAAGCAUCUUUAAGGGUUCGCAAUGUGCAAGGUCGCACUGACCUUAGUGAGAAACCAGACUUAGUUGCUGAAGACUGGGAUCGUCUUUACGCUUGGAUGCUUGACCAAGCGGCAGUGAUGCUGGGUUUCCUGACUACUGAAAGGGAUCAAAGAGUUGAAGCUGCCAGUCAGCGUUUCAGAAGAAGAGCAGCUCUGAAUGAACAACUGUUGAGAAAUCAACUUCAUGCUGCUAUUGAAGAAGUUAGAAAGAAGAAAGAACAAGAGGAAAAAGCUGCAAGGAUUGAAGUAGAACAACGUGAAGCUGCAAGGUUGCAAGCUUUGGAACAAGCAGCUAAAUUACAAGCUGAAGUUGAGGCACUAAGAAAUCUAUCACUUGGAAUCAUUCCAUUUACUGAUGUUGCCUCCACAUCUGCUAAAGUUCCUCACUCUGAUCAAGCUGGUCCGUCUGCUCAACCUCAGUCAGAUUCAAGACUUGAUCUAAUUGAACAAAGACUUGAUUCUCAUGAAGCUCUUCUUCAGAGUCUUAAAGAGAUGUGCACAGAACUUCUGAAGAGGACAUCCAAGCCUUAGUCUUUAGGAACUCUCUUUAUUCUGCUUUUCUACUAUGUUACUAUGUUUUUCGCGUUUAACUCUGGUUCUUCUAUUCAAUUAUCGUUUUUAUAUAUGCUUGCAUAAUUCUUGUUUAUCAUUACUUAAUUCUCACUCAUCUACUACUUCUUAUUCUUCUACAACUGUAGCUAAAAGACCUCCAAUGGCGGAGCGACACGUGUCCACUUUUGCUGAAUGUUGUUUUUUAUUUUUUUUUUCUCUUUGCCAGCUGUAAUACGACGUCGUUUCUCAGUUUAGGUUUAUUUCUCUUUAUCUCUCAUGAAUCUCUUUCUACCUGCUCCGCCGGAGCUGUCGUGUUUCUCCUCUCCCUUGCUACCAAAUCCGCCGUACCAUUCGUCACCUUCUGAUUUCCUGAUUUCUCUCCUUUGCGACUGUAGCAGCGUCACAUAUUCCCCGCGUUUCAGCUUCUUCACAUGGCUUUUCCGGCGUUGGCUAUCACGUCGCCCGUCAACUAUUACACCGAUUCAUUUGCUUAUAAAUGCUCACACAACCCUCACUCCAGCACCAUUCACACAACCCCUUGCUGCAGAAAUUGCAUUAACUAUGGGUCAAUCUGAUUAUUUGGUUGAUGUGAUUGCCUUGGUAGGUGUUUCUGAGGAGAAGCAGUAUCUGAAGAGUUCCAUAGUUACUAGGGUUAUACAGAUUGAACUAACAGAUGACAGAACACAGAAAGUGGAAGGCAAACAAGGAAAGUGUAAGUAGAAAUAGCACCACUCACAAAAAAUGGUAGUUGAUUUAACUGGUAGGUGAUUCUACUUUUCUAAAAUCUGUAUGAGUUGAUGUGAAGUAUGCUUUUGAAUUUAAAAUUAAUAAUUCUUCAGCACAUAGAGCCACUAGAGUGAUUUGAAUUUUGAAGUGUCUAUAAAUGAUGCUAACAUGCUGUGUUUGUUCAUUGACAACUGUCACUUUCCUACAAUUUUCUGGUUGCAAUUGGUAUGAACAAAAUGGUUUAUUCAUUCCCUUUAUUUCUAUCUGGCUGUGUUUUGCAUCAAAAUUUCAAAGUACAUGGGGUUUUAUGCAGAUUUAUUUGGUUUUAUAUUUUUUAUUGCUUCUUUCAGGUGUUUCAAAUUGUCAAAUUCCAAUUUCCUAUACUUCUCUCACUAAAUCACUAUGUUGUGAGCUGGUUCUCAUUGGCUCUGUUAACAUUGGUUUCUAUUAUAUGGCAAAGAUCGCAGUAACACCUUCAAUAGUUAUGCACUCAUGUAGAAUUUGUUCUGUAUAGGAAGAAAUUUUCUUGGCCCAAUGAAAAAUUGAAACAACUUGGAACAAUAGGUGAAUCCUCCACUGUUUGCAAAGAUGAUGGUUCAUCCAUUAAGCUAUUUGAAGUGUCAUUUCAAGUAUUGAAUCCAUUGCAGUACCUCUCCUUCCAUUGGAUCUAGCUUGACUAGCAAAAUCUUAUCAAAAUGUCUACCUAUAUGGAAGGAGCAACCUGCAUUUCACGUGUCACAUGUGUAUCUAGGUUUUCUAUUUUCAUUGACAUUUUGAUUUUUGAUAUAGCCAAAUGGCAUAGUGUAAUUAUUUUAUUUUUCAUUUGUAUUGUAGAUACUUUUCAUUGCAAUGGUAAUCUUUGGGUGACAACGGAACAAUAUGUCUUUCAAGCUUCUGCCUCAUU
Lotus japonicus is the source of this 6876-nucleotide RNA transcript. RefSeq lists it as uncharacterized. The transcript has 8 exons. Lineage: Eukaryota; Viridiplantae; Streptophyta; Magnoliopsida; Fabales; Fabaceae. The record is from RefSeq and is a predicted model, not a curated record.